CACGUAGGCGGACUGUUUAGUCAGAGGUGAAAUCCCGGGGCUCAACCUCGGAAUUGCCUUUGAUACUGGCAGUCUUGAGUUCGAGAGAGGUGAGUGGAAUUCCGAGUGUAGAGGUGAAAUUCGUAGAUAUUCGGAGGAACACCAGUGGCGAAGGCGGCUCACUGGCUCGAUACUGACGCUGAGGUGCGAAAGCGUGGGGAGCAAACA
RNAcentral lists this ribosomal RNA (207 nucleotides) under uncultured bacterium. RNAcentral describes it as "partial 16S ribosomal RNA". It matches the Rfam family "Bacterial small subunit ribosomal RNA", at positions 568 to 774 of the family's 1533-position model. The record is from RNAcentral.